RNAcentral lists this ribosomal RNA (482 nucleotides) under uncultured bacterium. Its description in RNAcentral is "partial 16S ribosomal RNA". It matches the Rfam family "Bacterial small subunit ribosomal RNA", at positions 30 to 507 of the family's 1533-position model. The record is from RNAcentral.
AUUGAACGCUGGCGGCAUGCUUUACACAUGCAAGUCGAACGGUAACAGGCCGCAAGGUGCUGACGAGUGGCGAACGGGUGAGUAAUGCAUCGGAACGUGCCCAGUCGUGGGGGUUAACUACUCGAAAGAGUAGCUAAUACCGCAUACGAUCUAUGGAUGAAAGCGGGGGACCGUAAGGCCUCGCGCGAUUGGAGGGGCCUGUGUCGGAUUAGGUAGUUGGUGGGGUAAAGGCUCACCAAGCCCACGAUCUGUAGCUGGUCUGAGAGGACGACCAGCAACACUGGAACUGAGACACGGCCCAGACUCCUACGGGAGGCAGCAGUGGGGAAUUUUGGACAAUGGGCGCAAGCCUGAUCCAGCAAUGCCGCGUGCAGGAAGAAGGCCUUCGGGUUGUAAACUGCUUUUGUACGGAACGAAACGGCUCUGGUUAAUACCCGGGGCUAAUGACGGUACCGUAAGAAUAAGCACCGGCUAACUACGUG